Molecule: long non-coding RNA, 510 nt
Organism: Zea mays
Lineage: Eukaryota; Viridiplantae; Streptophyta; Magnoliopsida; Poales; Poaceae
Exons: 3
Source: RefSeq, a predicted model, not a curated record
UAUAUUGUAGGCACACAUCUUUGAGUUGCCUGAAGAAAAGCUAUGCCUCUCUUUCCUUUCCAACAAUAACACGGGCGAAGACGGAACAGUGAUCUUCCGAGGGGAUAAGCACUAUGUGCCUAGCGUUCUGUCUCCAUUCUUGCUGGGUGCAAGAACGUAGUUUACAAUACCAAGAGAGUGUUUGUACAACACAGUGAAAGGUCAUUCCAUACCUCAGAUGUAACAAGCAAGAAUAACCAGUGGGAGAUGUACUCAGAAACGGUCCCAAAGUAUCGUGAUACUAAAGUCAGGACAAAGGAACCCCUGGAGCAAUAUAACCAAACCAAGGACGAUACUGACUACUUAUGGUACACCACAAGCUUUCGCUUGGAGUCGGAUGAUUUGCCCUUUAGAAAUGACAUCCGGCCUGUGCUUCAGGUCAAAAGUAGUGCACACGCAAUGAUGGGAUUUGCUAAUGAUGCUUUCGUAGGUAACUUGGACCAACUCUGUAACAAUCUUGUUCCUCCAAAG